UAUUUUUGUCUGGGCCCUAUGCUAUCAAGUGUUGUUCAUGUUUGGCCGGCAAGAUCUAGCUAGGUAGACCGGCUAUAGUUUCAUCAUUAACAUGGUGGAUCAAGUGAAGAGUGUGAGCUAGAGAAUUUAGUGCUGCCAUCAUCAGCUCGUCGACAAUGACACUAUAACCUGUCAAAUACGAGAAAUUUAAUAUGUAUAGAUCUACACAUAUUUAGAAUGUCUACUUCUCUGUACAGGAGCAAUGGCUAAUAUCCAGCUAUCCCAACAGUGCGCUCCUCUUGGCUAUGCUAACGGACGAGACUGGACAGUUUGAGGACUGGAGUAUGACCUGCUCGUUCGAGCGUUGCUGGGUAGCUCAGAGGCAUCAAGAGAAUCUACGUUUUCUCAACCAAAAUUUAACUGAGUUACGAGUUGGGGCCUAGAAUCAGAGAAGUCCAGCAGCCUACUAAAUCUUUUUGAAACGUAAUUUGAAGGCAUUCAAUCAUUCUGAAGUUGCCCUAGCCUCCUUCGCAGCCUCUCCUUUUUCUGUUCUUUGUCACACGGUCAAUAAGAUAAAAUACGCAAAGAUGACUAGCUCGACUGACACUGAGUUCUCUUCCGCUCUGGCUUAUGCCCUUUCUUGUGUGAAGAGAAGUCAUUUAGUUCUGAGGGAUAAACAGCUUGACACUCUACGGAUGCUGUACGAAGGGAAUGAUGUUUUCCUGUGGGUUCCUACUGGAUAUGAAAGUCUAUCUGCUACCAAACUUUGCCUUUUUAAUUCGACAAGAAGCUGGAUAGAAUUAGUUCUCCUCCUAGUGAGCGUAGUAUUGUCCCCUAGUGUCUCUAAUGGUAGAUCAAGUGACUAGUCUACAUGAUCGUGGUGUUCCUGCUGGUAUACUCAGUGGAAACAAAGGGGUCGAUAAGAAGUCCAAGUGAGUGCUUCACCUACCCCCAGAAUACUCAUAAGGCAGUGCCAGUCCUCUAUACAAGGCUCUAACUGCUCCAAUUGUCCACUGCGAGUGUCCGCAUCUCGCAUAUGUUUUUUGCUACAUCGCUGUCUUUCACAAGUCAUCUGAUCGCCACCUGACAUAACAAACAUCAAGGACUACAACCUCAGAUUUUUUGGCCAUCUCUGUGCUGUGGGGGUGCUUAAUGUGACUGACAACACACCGUUUGUACCGCUGGAGGGGCUUGAUGUACUCGCACAGUAUUCGACCGACUAGAACGACCAAAUUUCUUGGAUGCCCUCAAUGUCGGCCUUUGUAGGAAGGAAGCAUCGAUAGGACGUUGGUACAGCUUGCUGAUUUUCGUGACCAACUUCAACACGGCACAGUAACUGAUAGUGACACUAAGAUGAUUCAGCCUGGAGUAUACCUUUGAAGAGUACGAGAGACAGAAACGACUGAAUACCACACAUUCUUGUGUUACGCUCUUUCAAGAGAAUUGCUGUGGCCAUACACAUCCCAGGGUAGUGACUCUCUCCGCGUUUAUGCAAGUUCCUAUGAUCUGAACGUCCUACGAUCGUCUGGAUAAGCCUAAAUAGAAUCGGAGACUUUCGCUGUAGUUCAGACACAGCCUGUUUCCACGAUAACGCUUCCACAUUGUCAAUUGGAACCCGGUGAAAUAGAGAGACAAACUCCCCAGAGUUACGACAUAGAGUGGAACAUUCGUCGUCAAGAAUUUUCACCACACCCUCUACCAAUUGGUCCUUCAGUGAAGGGCAAGAAAAUGCUGCCUUGGCAAUAGACUGAAUGUUGCCACUAUUCAGUGCCUGGCGUAAUUUCUGGAGACUUUCAUCUACUUCCGCAGUCACUGUACUGGGUGGUUUAACAUACCGUCAACAGAAGAAAACUGCUCGAGAUUGGUCAACUCUAACAGCGGUGGCUGACGAGGACAGUCUGUGUGCGCUAUGAAAAAGAGAUGAUUCCUGUCAUCUACAUAUAUGAUUUGUUGCAAUCAACCUACGUUCCUCCCUGGUUGAGAAAGCAAGCCUUCUUCCAGGUGCUCCUACUGUCAGACGUUUUGCUAGAGGUCUAGCAUGGACUGUGUGAGGUGAUGCUUCAAGCCCAUAGUUCUCUUCCUACCUGAUACCAUAGGACUACAGAUGGAAGCCUUAUUUCGACCCUGCUCAAAACCACACUUAGCCAUACUUCUAAAGGCUUUAAGUUUAGACUCCAGAGACUGGAAUUUGUUUGUGCAAGCUCUACAAAUGUAUGAAGAUAGCCCAUCACACUCACUAACUGGCAGCUCUAGCAGUUUGCCAAGUCUGUCUGGAAGGCAUCUUUGAACAGACUCUUUGCUGAACAGAGCUGAGCAGCGAGUAGAAGUAACAAUGUUGCAGCACAAUCUGCAUAUUCUGGUGGCUGCCAUUGUGGGCUUGAACAUUCUACCACCAACCACGCUGUCUUACGUAUUUUUCCUUUGUGUACUUUGUCCGAUUUUAUCACUUGCGUAAUACUGAUAAAUAUACGAAUUAUUUCGCGCAUGCGCAUACAAGGUAUACCAGGCCGCUGUACAGCGUAAAGCGGACUUGAGUCGAGGCUAUGCUUAGCCUCGAUCCCAGGCCGAGUUUUCGCUUUUAUAACGGUUAGACGAACAACUGGGCCUGGUACUAGUUGUCUGCGCAUGUGUCAGUCGUUCGUCAGAUUCUGACGAAUGGAUAUUCUCGUUCACUUUCGUGACAUUUAUAUUUGUGUACUAUCGUGUACUAGAAGUCAGUUCCCGUUUUAUCAUUAUUGGAAUGGCUCUUAGCUGAAGCUUCUCUCUUCUCUGAAGCUUAGAAAACAUUAUUCUGAAGACUGAACAACAAGGGAAGAGGUAUAAAGCUUUGUCAAGCUUGUUAAGGAGCAAUGGCUAAUAUCCAACUAUCCCAACAGUGCUCCUCGUGGCUAUACUAACGGACGAGACUGGACAGUUUGAGGUAAGGGUUUAACCGUCUUUGGUUUCUUUUAAUAUUGUCCUAUACUCACAGACACAGGACUGGAGUAUGACCUGCUCAUUUGAGCGUUGCUGGGUAGCUCAGAGACAUCAAGAGAAUCUACGUUUUCUCAAGCAAUGAGUUACGAGUUGGGGCCUAGAAUCAGAGAAGUCCAGCAGCCUGCUAAAUCUUUUUGAAACGUAAUUUGAAGGCAUUCAAUCAUCCUGAAGUUGCCCUGGGUCACUGUAAUUGUGCUGCAGCACAACUGGCAACUCCCCAGGCCUUUGUGAAGCAGCUCCCUAUGUGCAUCUUUUGUGUACUCACUCUGUGCAUUUUCUGUGUACAAAUUUCUAUUAUUGAUUUAUUAAAUAUUUUUGCCGACCACAAA
Long non-coding RNA from Halichondria panicea, 3284 nucleotides. RefSeq lists it as uncharacterized. The record is from RefSeq and is a predicted model, not a curated record. Lineage: Eukaryota; Metazoa; Porifera; Demospongiae; Suberitida; Halichondriidae. The transcript has 8 exons.